UGAGCAAUCUCAGGCCUGUGGAAGAAC
RNAcentral lists this non-coding RNA (27 nucleotides) under Rattus norvegicus (Norway rat). The record is from RNAcentral. Lineage: Eukaryota; Metazoa; Chordata; Mammalia; Rodentia; Muridae.